AUUUGACAAACCCUCAGUCGGAGGUCCCGCCUGAUGUACAUUCUAAUCAUCAUUGGGGCUUCUGAGUGUAAAGUUCAAAGCUUUAUCAGUUCUGAAUCGGCAGUGCAGGUAAAGUAGAGGAUAUCAGGCUAUCUUGUACAACAGCUGUUUAUACCGACACGGCGAUUGGGUAACACAUGUGACUGACACAUAAAAUAUCCCGAACUUUCAGUGUGAUCGUUCUUUGGCAGUCACCUUCCUGUUCACCUUGCUGCUCACCUUGCAGCAUCUAACUGAUCGUUGGCGUUUGACAGUGACCCCAACAACGCUGUACGGUUUGGCCUGAACCAGACUUGGCCUGCGUUCGCGGAGCCAGGGGAACACUAUCUACUGCUGAACACCACCAUGUCCGUGCAGUCCAGCCCCUUCAAGGACAGGGUUAAGUUAUGG
RNAcentral lists this unclassified non-coding RNA (429 nucleotides) under Haliotis rufescens (red abalone). RNAcentral's name for it is "cholinesterase 2-like, transcript variant X3". Lineage: Eukaryota; Metazoa; Mollusca; Gastropoda; Lepetellida; Haliotidae. The record is from RNAcentral.